Non-coding RNA from Lepisosteus oculatus (spotted gar), 116 nucleotides. NCBI's taxonomy places the organism in Eukaryota, Metazoa, Chordata, Actinopteri, Semionotiformes, Lepisosteidae. The record is from Rfam.
GCCAGCAGCCAUAUCACCCUGUAACUCUCAACUGGCAGCCCACUGAAGCUCAGCAGGUGUGAGCCUGGUCAGUACCUGGAUGGGAGACCUCCUGGGAAAAACUAAGGUUGCUUAGU